RNAcentral lists this ribosomal RNA (923 nucleotides) under uncultured Sphingobacteriales bacterium. Its description in RNAcentral is "bacterial SSU rRNA". It matches the Rfam family "Bacterial small subunit ribosomal RNA", at positions 58 to 981 of the family's 1533-position model. Lineage: Bacteria; Pseudomonadati; Bacteroidota; Sphingobacteriia; Sphingobacteriales. The record is from RNAcentral.
CAAGUCGGACGGGAUUGGGGAGCUUGCUCCCCAUGAGAGUGGCGCACGGGUGCGUAACACGUAUGUAACCUACCUUAAUCUGGGGGAUAGCCUCUCGAAAGAGAGAUUAACACCGCAUAACAUGUUUUAACAGCAUUGUUGAAACAUCAAAUAUUUAUAGGAUUAAGAUGGGCAUGCGGAACAUUAGCUAGUUGGUAAGGUAAUGGCUUACCAAGGCUACGAUGUUUAGGGGAUCUGAGAGGAUGACCCCCCACACUGGUACUGAGACACGGACCAGACUCCUACGGGAGGCAGCAGUAAGGAAUAUUGGUCAAUGGGCGCAAGCCUGAACCAGCCAUGCCGCGUGCAGGAAGACGGCCCUACGGGUUGUAAACUGCUUUUAUACCGGAAUAAACCUUGAUACGUGUAUCGAGCUGAAUGUACGGUAAGAAUAAGGAUCGGCUAACUCCGUGCCAGCAGCCGCGGUAAUACGGAGGAUCCAAGCGUUAUCCGGAUUUAUUGGGUUUAAAGGGUGCGUAGGUGGCCUGUUAAGUCAGGGGUGAAAGACGGUAGCUUAACUAUCGCAGUGCCUUUGAUACUGACGGGCUUGAAUACACUAGAGGUAGGCGGAAUGUGACAAGUAGCGGUGAAAUGCAUAGAUAUGUCACAGAACACCAAUUGCGAAGGCAGCUUACUAUGGUGUCAUUGACACUGAGGCACGAAAGCGUGGGGAUCAAACAGGAUUAGAUACCCUGGUAGUCCACGCCCUAAACGAUGAAUACUCGAUGUUGGCGAUAUACGGUCAGCGUCUAAGCGAAAGCGUUAAGUAUUCCACCUGGGGAGUACGCCCGCAAGGGUGAAACUCAAAGGAAUUGACGGGGGCCCGCACAAGCGGAGGAGCAUGUGGUUUAAUUCGAUGAUACGCGAGGAACCUUACCCGGGCU